UCAGGAUGAACGCUAGCUACAGGCUAACACAUGCAAGUCGAGGGGUAGCAGGGUAGCAAUACCGCUGACGACCGGCGCACGGGUGAGUAACACGUAUACCAACCUUCCCAUAACUCAGGGAUAGCCUUUCGAAAGAAAGAUUAAUACCUGAUAGUACUUUUUCAAGGCAUCUUGAGAAGGUUAAAGAUUUAUUGGUUAUGGAUGGGGAUGCGUUCCAUUAGAUAGUUGGUGAGGUAACGGCUCACCAAGUCUUCGAUGGAUAGGGGUUCUGAGAGGAAGGUCCCCCACAUUGGUACUGAGACACGGACCAAACUCCUACGGGAGGCAGCAGUGAGGAAUAUUGGUCAAUGGGCGAGAGCCUGAACCAGCCAAGUAGCGUGAAGGAUGAAGGUCCUAUGGAUUGUAAACUUCUUUUAUAGUAGAAUAAAGUGAUCCACGUGUGGAUUUUUGUAUGUAUACUAUGAAUAAGGAUCGGCUAACUCCGUGCCAGCCGCAGC
RNAcentral lists this ribosomal RNA (497 nucleotides) under uncultured bacterium. Its description in RNAcentral is "bacterial SSU rRNA". It matches the Rfam family "Bacterial small subunit ribosomal RNA", at positions 24 to 518 of the family's 1533-position model. The record is from RNAcentral.